RNAcentral lists this transfer-messenger RNA (325 nucleotides) under Acetobacteraceae bacterium H6797. RNAcentral's name for it is "Alphaproteobacteria transfer-messenger RNA". It matches the Rfam family "Alphaproteobacteria transfer-messenger RNA". Rfam says of the family: Bacterial tmRNA, also known as 10Sa RNA or SsrA, is named for its dual tRNA and mRNA-like properties. Its role is to liberate the mRNA from a stalled ribosome. The record is from Rfam by way of RNAcentral. Lineage: Bacteria; Pseudomonadati; Pseudomonadota; Alphaproteobacteria; Acetobacterales; Acetobacteraceae.
CCUCUGGUCAUGGCCGCCCGGGCCGCCUAUAUGAGCGGCGUCACCUCGGUGACUAUGGCGAUAAACGCCGUGUGGAAUAAGUGUUGCGGACCCGGGGGCAGUGCCCGGCGUCUCCACCAAUAUGCUCAGGCCCUUUAUCGGGGGCGGCGGAUGGGGACGACACAGGCUCGACGCGCACGGUAAAGACACGGUUUUUGCCCGGCAUUGUACCGCCGUUAUCGGGCUAAAUCACAAGUGCCAACGAUAACAGCCGUGAGGCUGUGGCGCUCGCUGCCUAAUAGGUAAGCGCGGUUCGGGGGGCACCGGGCAACAGAAGCCCCCCACU